GAUGAACGCUCGCUACAGGCUUAACACAUGCAAGUCGCGGGGCAGCAUGGGGGUUGCUUGCAACCCCUGAUGGCGACCGGCGCACGGGUGAGUAACGCGUAUCCAACCUGCCCUUCACCACGGGAUAACCCGGCGAAAGUCGGACUAAUACCGUAUGUUGUCCAUUGACGGCAUCCGAUUUGGACGAAAGGCUUGGCGGUGGAAGGAUGGGGAUGCGUCCGAUUAGCUUGACGGCGGGUUAACGGCCCACCGUGGCUACGAUCGGUAGGGGUUCUGAGAGGAAGGUCCCCCACACUGGAACUGAGACACGGUCCAGACUCCUACGGGAGGCAGCAGUGAGGAAUAUUGGUCAAUGGGCGUAAGCCUGAACCAGCCAAGUAGCGUGCAGGAUGACGGCCCUAUGGGUUGUAAACUGCUUUUAUGCGGGGAUAAAGUGGCCCACGUGUGGGCUUUUGCAGGUACCGCAUGAAUAAGGACCGGCUAAUUCCGUG
Molecule: ribosomal RNA, 491 nt
Filed under: uncultured bacterium
Lineage: Bacteria
Description: partial 16S ribosomal RNA
Rfam family: Bacterial small subunit ribosomal RNA
Source: RNAcentral